UGCGGCUGACAAGCCCGAGGUUGGAUACGCGGUGACCACGCACUGGAGCUGGCCAACGCCUGGCUACAACCUCGCUGAAAAUUGGCUGAAACCAGCCAAUAGUCCUAGUUACAACCAUAGUGGAAUUUUGCUGCAACCUGAUUAGUCCCUUUAAUGGUCCAAUUAAGGAGCAGAAAGGAUUCUUACCUUUUCGCCAAAGGUAACCCUGAGUUAUGAAACCCAUGAGAGGAAGUCACCGUUGAAGUCACAGGUUUCUACCAAGCUUUUGCAAGAUCAAAAUCAAGUUGACACAUCAAACACUUAUAAUAAUAAAAAUAGGUAUGGAUAUGAGCACUAUUCUUACAACCAUAUAUUUGUGAAUGAGAUCAUUACAAUGUUAGUUUGUGCCCUACAAAUCAUCCAUCGAGAUGUGCUUACGACAUAUCAAAGUGAGGAAUGUGUCCAAAUUACGUAUUGAUUGGCAUGGGUCCUCCAUCAGGAGUCAGUUGUCCAACCAAAAGGCCCUAUCCAUAGCACGGGGUUGCCCCGAUCAUUAAGAUAGAAAUUAGACAAAAGUGUUGGCGUUUAAUGACCACACCUCUUGUAUCCCCAGGGAUAGGAUCCGCGUUACGGUACUAAACCUUUUUGUCACUAGUGUUCAGAUUAACACUUCAUGGUCUUCGUGCCCUUAGCCUCUUCGUGGCUCGCUCUCCAUGAUCCUGGGUACCUGCAGGGACGAAGAACACGAACGAGACAAGAGACAAUGAUGAAGCAAUUUUAUGUUACAUAUACGAGACGUUAAUUCAAAGGACUUCCAUCAAUCCCCUCCAAAAAAUACACCGGGUGUAGGGCUAUGCCUCAACCCAUAAUCUUACGAAACUACUCACACAUGAAGAUCAUAUCACAAGGACAAAUCAUUGAAGAACACAUCAUGAAGAUUGUUUGAUUGAUAAUAUGUCUUACAGUAGAUGCUGGAUGUGAUACACGAUUACAAAGUAUGGGUAGUUGGCUGAGUACUACGGUGGUGGACAUGAUGGAGGCUAUGGAGAUGUAGAUGGGAAAUAGCGGUGACUAGGGUUGCUGUGUAUGACGAAGACGGAG
Molecule: long non-coding RNA, 1080 nt
Filed under: Triticum aestivum (bread wheat)
Lineage: Eukaryota; Viridiplantae; Streptophyta; Magnoliopsida; Poales; Poaceae
Description: long non-coding RNA (TAES_LNC026278)
Source: RNAcentral